This 468-nucleotide ribosomal RNA is filed under the name uncultured bacterium. RNAcentral's name for it is "partial 16S ribosomal RNA". It matches the Rfam family "Bacterial small subunit ribosomal RNA", at positions 28 to 507 of the family's 1533-position model. The record is from RNAcentral.
GACGAACGCUGGCGGCGUGCUUAACACAUGCAAGUCGAACGGAAAGGCCCUGCUUUUGUGGGGUGCUCGAGUGGCGAACGGGUGAGUAACACGUGAGUAACCUGCCCUUGACUUUGGGAUAACUUCAGGAAACUGGGGCUAAUACCGGAUAGGAGCUCCUGCUGCAUGGUGGGGGUUGGAAAGUUUCGGCGGUUGGGGAUGGACUCGCGGCUUAUCAGCUUGUUGGUGGGGUAGUGGCUUACCAAGGCUUUGACGGGUAGCCGGCCUGAGAGGGUGACCGGCCACAUUGGGACUGAGAGACGGCCCAGACGCCUACGGGAGGCAGCAGUGGGGAAUAUUGCACAAUGGGCGGAAGCCUGAUGCAGCAACGCCGCGUGCGGGAUGACGGCCUUCGGGUUGUAAACCGCUUUCGCCUGUGACGAAGCGUGAGUGACGGUAAUGAGUAAAGAAGCACCGGCUAACUACGUG